Molecule: ribosomal RNA, 551 nt
Filed under: Streptomyces sp. RPS-2MN_10-2-1
Lineage: Bacteria; Bacillati; Actinomycetota; Actinomycetes; Kitasatosporales; Streptomycetaceae
Description: bacterial SSU rRNA
Rfam family: Bacterial small subunit ribosomal RNA
Source: RNAcentral
GGCCUUCGGGUUGUAAACCUCUUUCUGCAGGGAAGAAGUCAAGUGACGGUACCUGCAGAAGAAGCACCGGCUAACUACGUGCCAGCAGCCGCGUUAAUACGUAGGGUGCGAGCGUUGUCCGGAAUUAUUGGGCGUAAAGAGCUCGUAGGCGGCUUGUCGGUCUGAUGUGAAAGCCCGGGGCUUAACCCCGGGUUUGCAUUCGAUACGGGCAGGCUAGAGUUCGGUAGGGGAGAUCGGAAUUCCUGGUGUAGCGGUGAAAUGCGCAGAUAUCAGGAGGAACACCGGUGGCGAAGGCGGAUCUCUGGGCCGAUACUGACGCUGAGGAGCGAAAGCGUGGGGGGGCGAACAGGAUUAGAUACCCUGGUAGCCCCCGCCGUAAACGUUGGGAACUAGGUGGGGGGCGACAUUCCACGUCGUCCGGCCGCAGCUAACGCAUUAAGUUCCCCGCCUGGGGAGUACGGCCGCAAGGUUAAAACUCAAAGGAAUUGAGGGGGGCCCGCACAACGGGGGAACAUGUGGUUUAUUCGACGAACGGGAAGAACUUUACCAGG